This 204-nucleotide ribosomal RNA is filed under the name Anapisona kethleyi. Its description in RNAcentral is "partial 18S ribosomal RNA". It matches the Rfam family "Eukaryotic small subunit ribosomal RNA", at positions 1144 to 1348 of the family's 1831-position model. The record is from RNAcentral. Lineage: Eukaryota; Metazoa; Arthropoda; Arachnida; Araneae; Anapidae.
UUAAAGGAAUUGACGGAAGGGCACACAAGGAUUGGGUCCUGCGGCUUAAUUUGACUCAACACGGGAAAUCUCACUCGGUCCGGAUUUAGGAAGGAUUGACAGAUUGAGAGCUCUUUCUUGAUUCUAAAGGUGGUGGUGCAUGGCCGCUUGUAGUUCGUAGAGCGAUUCGGCUGGUUGAUUCCGAUAACGAGCGUGACUCCUGCC